Molecule: ribosomal RNA, 253 nt
Filed under: uncultured bacterium
Lineage: Bacteria
Description: partial 16S ribosomal RNA
Rfam family: Bacterial small subunit ribosomal RNA
Source: RNAcentral
UACGAAGGGGGCUAGCGUUGCUCGGAAUCACUGGGCGUAAAGGGUGCGUAGGCGGAUCUUUAAGUCAGGGGUGAAAUCCUGGAGCUCAACUCCAGAACUGCCCUUGAUACUGAAGAUCUUGAGUGCGGGAGAGGUGAGUGGAACUGCGAGUGUAGAGGUGAAAUUCGUAGAUAUUCGCAAGAACACCAGUGGCGAAGGCGGCUCACUGGCCCGAUACUGACGCUGAGGCACGAAAGCGUGGGGAGCAAACAGG